UGGGAACCUUCCCUAUGGUUCGGAAUAGCUCAGGGAAACUUGGGGUAAUACCGGAUAAGCCCUUCGGGGGAAAGAUUUAUCGCCAUUGGAUGGGCCCGCGUCGGAUUAGCUAGUUGGUGAGGUAACGGCUCACCAAGGCAACGAUCCGUAGCUGGUCUGAGAGGAUGGCCAGCCACAUUGGGACUGAGACACGGCCCAGACUCCUACGGGAGCAG
Molecule: ribosomal RNA, 215 nt
Filed under: uncultured bacterium
Lineage: Bacteria
Description: partial 16S ribosomal RNA
Rfam family: Bacterial small subunit ribosomal RNA
Source: RNAcentral